Molecule: non-coding RNA, 25 nt
Filed under: Rattus norvegicus (Norway rat)
Lineage: Eukaryota; Metazoa; Chordata; Mammalia; Rodentia; Muridae
Source: RNAcentral
UGAGUAGGUAUACCAGCCCAGUGAA